RNAcentral lists this unclassified non-coding RNA (207 nucleotides) under uncultured Serendipita. RNAcentral's name for it is "sequence contains ITS2". The record is from RNAcentral. Lineage: Eukaryota; Fungi; Basidiomycota; Agaricomycetes; Sebacinales.
UAAUCUCACCACGAUCGACUUUGUGUCUUUCCGUGUGUGGACUUGGAUGCUGCCGUGGAUCCCACGGCUCGUCUGAAAUGCCUGAGUGUACCCCGCUUUGCGGCGUAUUCGGUGUGAUAAAUCUUCACCGGAGUUGAUCCCUUGUGGGUCGCGUCUUACGAGUGUGGCUCUAUGCUUCCAACCGUCUGUUUUGGACAAUCUCUGACA